GAGUUUGAUCCUGGCUCAGAACGAACGCUGGCGGCAGGCUUAACACAUGCAAGUCGAGCGCCCCGCAAGGGGAGCGGCAGACGGGUGAGUAACGCGUGGGAACGUACCCUUUGCUACGGAAUAACUCCGGGAAACUGGAACUAAUACCGUAUGUGCCCUUCGGGGGAAAGAUUUAUCGGCAAGGGAUCGGCCCGCGUUGGAUUAGCUAGUUGGUGGGGUAAAGGCCUACCAAGGCGACGAUCCAUAGCUGGUCUGAGAGGAUGAUCAGCCACACUGGGACUGAGACACGGCCCAGACUCCUACGGGAGGCAGCAGUGGGGAAUAUUGGACAAUGGGCGCAAGCCUGAUCCAGCCAUGCCGCGUGAGUGAUGAAGGCCCUAGGGUUGUAAAGCUCUUUCACCGGUGAAGAUAAUGACGGUAACCGGAGAAGAAGCCCCGGCUAACUUCGUGCCAGCAGCCGCGGUAAUACGAAGGGGGCUAGCGUUGUUCGGAAUUACUGGGCGUAAAGCGCACGUAGGCGGGUAUUUAAGUCAGGGGUGAAAUCCCAGAGCUCAACUCUGGAACUGCCUUUGAUACUGGGUACCUAGAGUAUGGAAGAGGUGAGUGGAAUUC
Molecule: ribosomal RNA, 612 nt
Filed under: uncultured Hyphomicrobiales bacterium
Lineage: Bacteria; Pseudomonadati; Pseudomonadota; Alphaproteobacteria; Hyphomicrobiales
Description: bacterial SSU rRNA
Rfam family: Bacterial small subunit ribosomal RNA
Source: RNAcentral